Long non-coding RNA from Gallus gallus (chicken), 4656 nucleotides. RefSeq lists it as uncharacterized. The record is from RefSeq and is a predicted model, not a curated record. The transcript has 4 exons. NCBI's taxonomy places the organism in Eukaryota, Metazoa, Chordata, Aves, Galliformes, Phasianidae.
ACAGUGGAAGUGAGGCAGAUUCCCAGCAAGCGGCACACAUGAGGAUUGUCAACACUAGCCAUCACAUAGGCUUCCUGAGAAGAAAGAAGAGCCAAUGGGAUGCAAGUGGCCUACAGCAGAACUCAAAUAAGGGAACCUCAGCCUCCUGCAGAAUGUGAGCAGGAAUUUGACACAAUUCAGUUUGUGAAAACUGUAUUGUGUUUCUUAUCACCGUGAAGAGUGAAACAGCCCCUGGAAGGCCCAUGCAGGAGGAAAUCAGCCUACCCUGGAUGCACUGGAGCAGUAAUGGGAUUCAUGUGGGACUGGGACUUGGAGAAGUGUGAGACUGGCCUAGGGGCAAAGGGUAUGUGCUGCUUUGUCUUGUCCAGUGGCUCAGGGGAAACAAGUGGUUUCUCCCCAUGGGAUAAUGCUAGGAAGCUGGUUCCAGAAGUCCAGAGACAAAAUCUAGAAGACAAUUUUCAGACUGUAGUUUCUCAUGUUGUUUAGCCUUGGCUGUCAGCAGCUCCUGGGGAACUGGCAAGGUCUAACAGAGAUCUCAGUCAUCUGAGAGCUGCUGAUCUCUGUCCCUCUGAAAGCAUAUGAGAAGCAGUGCCCCAUAGCCUUUUCCUUGUUUUGUGAAGUCCUAAGUUUUAUCUGAGUAAGAAAGUAAAAUUCCCAAGCCUCUUUCAGGAAGUGAGAUAACUUUUCACUUUUCAUGGCUGAGAAACUAGUCUGCUGGGAAUUUUUCUUUACAGAUUAGCAGUUCAUUUAUUUCUUUCUAACUAAGCAACAACAUGACGACAAUCUGCAAUGUCAGUAUUCAAAACAAUUGCAUAAUGACUGCAAUUUUAUACGAAGAACUCUGGUUGGAUUGUUAAAUAUUUCUUGCCAGCCAAAUUUCUGAAAUCCCUUCAGCUGCUACAGGGGAAAAUCCACAGUCAUAGAAUCAUAGAAUCAUAGAAUCGCUAAGGUUGGAAAAGACCCACAGGAUCAUCCAGUCCAACCAUUCGCCCUUCACCAAUGGUUCCCGCUAAACCAUGUCCCUUAACACAACAUCCAAAAAGUUGACAGUCUACUGUCAACUUGGCAAAACAAAUAUGAACACUUACAUCAAGUAUUUCCUUGUUGGCUUUUGGCGAUGUAGCCUCUCUCAAUUCUUUAAUAGCAACAGGAAUUUUAACCUUUUCCCCUUCUGGGAUCCAAAGUCCCUAUCAAAAAGAAGUACAAAGAAUUACUCUGUUCUUACGUCUAACAGGUUAAUUCUCACAAUUAUGUACACACUUUACAUCUUCUGAGUAGACUUAAAUAUUCUGAGCAAUGGGAAAGCAAAGCAAACAACAAAAAUUUGACAAGCAAUAUGCAAAAAGUCAUUAUAACUUGUGGGUAUUAAAAGAAUCUACCAUAUUUUUUUGAAAAAAAUACUCACAAAAAAAGCCAUGUCAAUUACCUGUAUGAAUAGCCCAAGACAUACAUAAGGAAUACCUCACUUGGAUAGAAACCUAAUUAAUUAGCACAUCAUGGCAACUGCAAUAGCAAAACAUUGCCACUUCCAAUUUAUAAAUCACUGGUUCAGCAAUAUAGACUCAGCAAAACAAAAAACAAAACAAAACAAAACAAAAAAUCCCAUGUUAUCAAAUUAAUAAAUCAAUUAAUGACAAUUUUAGUAGUAUCUCUGCCAGUUCAACACAUACAAGUUAUAAAAGCUAGUGAAAAAAAUCUGCAACAGUAACCUCAGCUCUCAAUUCAUGCUUUGUUCUGGUGGCAUUUCCAUGUGGGAACAAGACAGAGAGGAAGAGAAACAUUGUGAUCUUACCUUAUAAACAGUGCCAAAAGCUCCAGAGCCCAAAACUUUGACCUUUUUAAAUUCUGUUUCCUUUAAAAUUCUCAGGUGGGCCUGGUUUGGUGCCUCCCCACUGGGUGUCAGUGGUUCGACAAGCUGGUGCAGACAGAAGAACAAGGUUUUAGAAGGAUACAGGUUGGAGUACAGCAAGCAGCACAAUUUGGGAAGGAAAGUAGUCCUACAUUUAAAAUAAUGAACAUAUUAUUGCAGCUGAAGUUUAUGUGAGGGCAAUUCUGCUCUGACUUACAGUAAUAAAUAUCAAGAGUUGUUCCAAAUAUCAGAGGUAAAAUAAAUAAAAUUGAGCUCCGCUACACCAUUUCUGUUCACUGAAAUUGAGCGGAACAGCAGCUGCCAUUUUGAAUGAAAAUGAAGUUUGAUGUUCAAAUGAAGACUUAGACAUAAAAGACUAAAAAAAAAUAUGGCAUGAAGAACAGUGCAAUUACCACAGGUCUUAAAUAAGGUUAUUUUUUUCAACUUGCAUAUAAAUUAUAAAAAUGUUUUAAGUAAUGUGCAAGAACCACCUGCAACCUUUCAGGUUUGUUCUUGUUUAAUUAGAUGAAAUUCCCAUGGCACUGGAGGUAGCUCUUCCAGACCACAGAGUUUAAAAACAACAAUUUAAACUGUGGGCACAAUUAUUUUAUAAAUUGAAAAUGAAAAGUUGAAUUGACUGUUGAAAUUUGAUCUAAGCCUUGUUGCAAACAGUAGCAAUGGCCUCCAAAAAGAAAUAUUUAACACUUUUUUUUUUUUUUUUUUUUUUUUACUGUGUAAGUCAGUUUUUUUCCCUUUAUUGAUUUUCUUAUGUUGCCACUAUGCUUUUUGGGAGGGAGAAACAACUCAGUGCUCAGGGAUUACAUGGCAAGGUUGCACAGAUUAGCAAACAUUACACAUCACCCCUCAGGCAGAGUCUUUUCCCCAAGUAGUGGGGAAAUCUCAGUGAUUGCCACCAAGAUUUAUAUAUCUAAAUUCCUAAGGUUUUGGAAAAUUAUAUCCACAGAGAUCAGAUUUAAGAUUAAAUGAGAAGGUGUUAGGUGCUCACUGCCUCUUUUCCAAUGAAUGUGGCAGAUGCCAUGGCAGACAAGCCAUGGGCUUAUUGAAUUACAAGGCAGAUCCAUGGUGCUGCAGCUCUCAGGUUUAAGGUGGUCUGGCUUCAUUGCCCUCAGGAAAGAAGCCUGUCCUAGAUAUGUUCGCAGUGCUCACCUCCCUCUCUUGCAGCAGCCUGCGCAGGGUGCGCUUCCGCACGAUAUGACGUCGCCGCAGGUAAAGACCGAUGCCUAGACCAACCACAACCAGGCACAGGAGUCCUCCGACAACACCAGCCGCGAUAGAUGGAGUUUUAGAGCUGCCAGGCACCAGGGAUGCAGAAAGAGAAGAAAACGCUUAGAAGCACAUGAAAUGGAAACUACCCAAGGAUACUACACAUUUUCUACUUUGAAUAGCAUUUCAUUUGUGUUUAAAGGCAAUGACUCUGGUCAUUUUUGGCAGAACUGUUUUUACUCAGACUGUAACAGCGCCUGGAAUGCUGUAAGUAUUUUAAAUCAGGGAAACCAGUAAUUCUGGUUCAAAUUCUACAGAAAAAACAAACCCACAAAAAACCCACACCAGAUCCACACUGUUCAUUUCAGUGAACUACAGUAAGACAUGCUAUGUGAAGAUUACUUUAAUUACUGUAUUAUCUAAGGGCUAACAUAAUUGACUAAUUAAUAGAUGCUGGGAAAUAUGGAACAAGAGGUGGUCACCACCUGAUGUAGUUUAAAAUGUUUGAUGGCAUCACUUAGGCCAUGGUGGUCUGAACUGGAAGGGAGGAUGGAAAUAGUUCACAUUGCUGAGCAGUCACUCCUCAAGACUGAUGGGCAAGGGUCAAAUACAGAGGCUGCAGGAGAUGGUAAGAGGUGUUCUAAAGAAGCAGGUGAUGUGAUUUCAGUUAGUGAGAAAGGCUUAUUGAGACAGAGGAGGAUUACAGAGAAUUACAGCUUUAUCAUUAAGACAUGAAUUUCAUCUGAUUAAAAUGGAAUUAUUUUUCACAGUUGCCAAACUGAACAUUUCAUAACACAUAAGAGUAUUCUAAAAAUUAAAGAAAAAUUAUAUGAAAAACACUGAGAGAGAUUCAUGACUGACUGACAAGACUGCGCUGUUUUUACUUUUGUGGAAGUAUUUUAAGUAUGAACACGUAUAUAAAUGGAUAAAGUAAGAAAAUCCAAUCAUUUUGUUUUGAUUGCUUUUCUUUUAUCAUACUUUAUGCCUACAACUACUUUAACAUUGGCUAUAAACUUUAACCUAGUUAGUUAAAAACAGUUUCAAGUAAAAACUGCAUCCUGGGUGUUUUUCAGUAAGCACUUUUUAAAUCUCAAUCUUAACAGGUCUUUUCAAGUUACUGUAUUAAUCCACUAUUUUAACAACUAUUUUCCUGUGAGUAAGGAAUUGUAAUUUGUUCAUGAUAACUUGGCUGUUCAGUAACCACACAUUCCUAAAUUACUAUAUCUUCACUUACGUUUUGUGUGUGUGUGUGUGUGUGUGUGUGUUUUUCUACAAAGACACAAGAAAGACCCUACGAUGCUUGUGACUAUGGGGCUAUGUGGAUAGCACAUGAUGGGGGAAAAACACAUCCUAAAGUUAUCUCUUCUAGGUUUUUCUCCCCCAACAACAGAUCUUGAUCUCUAUUUUUCCCCUCUCCCCCACCUCUGCCUGAUCGUGGCAAAGGGUAAAUGGGAAUUCAAGAUCAUAUCAUUAUACUGAACUAUAGCUCAAGGUACUGGUUUGCUAAGCCAGUUCUAUCCUUACCGGUCCAGAGCAGGUUGUGUUGUAUGCAGUGGAGUUCUGUACCAGACACUCUGAGUGGC